CUUAGCUCAAUCGGUAGAGCAACUGACUCUUAAUCAGUAGGUUAUGGGUUCGAUUCCCCUAG
Molecule: transfer RNA, 62 nt
Filed under: uncultured Ureaplasma sp.
Lineage: Bacteria; Bacillati; Mycoplasmatota; Mycoplasmoidales; Mycoplasmoidaceae
Rfam family: tRNA
About the family: Transfer RNA (tRNA) molecules are approximately 80 nucleotides in length. Their secondary structure includes four short double-helical elements and three loops (D, anti-codon, and T loops).
Source: RNAcentral